ACAGAACCUAUAUCUCAAAAUGUGGGCCCUAUUGCAACUCAUGCAUCUAGUGGGAGUGCUUUUUCAGGUCUGAUUAGUUCUCUCAUGGCUCAAGGUUUGAUCUCAUUGACAGCACCUGCUUCAGUUCAAGUACAUCUAAGAGUUGAGUUCCAUCUGGAUCUCCUUGAGGUGCAACAUGAGUCUGCAAUAAAAGGCUCUAUAUGCUGAUCUUCCAAGACAGUGCACUACUUGUGGCUUACGUUUCAAGUGCCAAGAGGAACACAGUAGUCACAUGGAUUGGCACGUUACAAAGAAUCAGAUAUACUGGGUUUGUGAGUACUAAUGUGUGGCUCAAUGGUGCAAAAGCAUUGGGAGUUGAUGCAAUUCCUGGGUUUUUGCCCACUGAAGUUGUUGCUGAGAAGAAGAAUGAUAAAGAAAUGGUUGAUCAUGCUGACGAGAAUCAGAAUGUAUGUGUAUUAUGUGGAGAGCCCUUUGAUGAUUUUUACAGUGAUGAGAUAGAGGAAGGGAUGUAUAAAGGGGCUGUAUACUUAAAUGCACCUGAUGGCACACCGACAAACAUGGACAAAUCCCAACUAGGUCCAAUCGUGCAUGCAAAGUGUAAAUCUGAGUCCACAGUAGUUCCUCCUGAAGAUUUUGCUAGAUGAAGGGGGUUUCAAGCGAGGUCUCACCACCUGCAUCACUCCUUCAAAUGCCAAAUUGGCAAUCAACAAUCACUUGGCAACUCUGGCUCCAAUAAGGAGAAUAACAAACUCUGAUCCACAUCUCCUAUGUGAGCAAUCAUAGUUGUUAAAAUCUUUUUUUGAUAAAUCAUAGUUGUUAAAAUCUUUUUUUGAUAAAUCAUAGUUGUUAAAAUCUUAUGAUUUGCAAUACAAUUCACAAUUUAAAUAAUGAAUUCCAAUGGCUUAUUUUCAAAUUUAAUGAUUGAAUACUUUUCUGAAAAAAAUGUUGUAUUAUUUUUUUGAAUCUUACCAUUCAAUUGUGAAUCUUGUAAUUGUAUUCAUAUGCUUCAAAUCAAAUUGAUUGACACUUAGUUUUUGUACUUCUGUUUUAAAACCCUUAUGAUAAUUUGAAUUAUUUAAAACCUACAUGAAGACUGUUUUGACUUUGCUUUCCAUCACGUAAAGGUUAAAGGAACAUUAUGUGUGGGUUAAUUGACUUCAAUAUCAAAUCUUAUCAUAUCAUUUUGCACAUGUAGUAAAAUCAUUUCUCUAUAUAUUAAGUUUUUAACUUUUUAGUACCUAAAUCUUUAAUUCUCAACAAAUUUGUAAAAGAAAAAUCAAUCUUAUGCUUUACAAUUUUAUUUGAUUUGUUUCACCCUUCUCUACAUAUUCUCUUUCUUUCUCCUGCAUAUUCUAGGAUAAAGUUAUGAUAAACCUAGAUCCAAUCCAAGUCUAAACCUGUUACACAUCCUUUAAACCACUCAAAUAUAUAGAGUACAAAGAAACUAGAAACCUAAGAGUAAGAUGGAGGUGCUAGGUGAUGAGUUAAGAAGUUCUACUUGAAACUAAAAGAAAUUUAAAAAAAAAAAAAAAAAAAAAUCAUUUGGAUUCCCAUAACUAGUAAAAUAAAUAUAAUCAGAUGCUAACACAAAGCAAAAGUUCAUUGGAGCUCCAAAUCUACCAGAGAAAAAGAUUAAAAUAGAAACUUCUGUAUCAUUAUUUAAUAGCUCUAACUAAAAUUCUCUCAAGUAUUGUCAAUUAGUCAUGCCCUCUAAAUAUUGAGCUCUCUCUCUCUCUCUCUCUCUCUCUCCCCUUUUUAUUUUUGACCUUAUAACUAUUGACCCCUUAGAACCAGUUUAAGAGUUAACCCCUCACACCUUACUAUAUUCAAACUUAACCCAAUGAUCACUAGCCACCUCUCUCCUUCCUGAUAUCAAAUCUCAAUCGACUAAGGGCUGCAUUAAUAUACUUAUUUCUAAUGUGUUUGUUUUUUCAGUUAUAAAGAGUUUUUCCUUUUGACAAUAUAAUAAGAAGGUUGCAAUUGGGAUAAUGAAAAAAAAUUGAACCUAAUUAGUCUGUCAAAACUGCUAAAACAAAAAAAAUUAUCUACACAAGUAAUAAGUUCUUGCUUUGAGGAAGAUGGACAAUUAUCUGAUUAUGUUAAAUAGAAAAUGGAAUUAAAUUCAAAAUGUGUUUAAAGUUAGUUCUGUACUUAAUUAGUUCAACAUGAAAGGUAACAUUUUGAACAAAGUGAUCGGUAAGCCUACUAUGCAUAGACAUACUUUAAUUUGCAGCAGAGAGAAUAAUGAUACAGAAGAGAAAGAGAUCUUAUUUAAGUAAGGUGCCUUUUUAUUGGACAAGGGCAACCCGAUUGUUGUUCAUAAACAACAUUUCUUGGAACAAGCCAAAGAGCAAGAAUAAGGUAGUACAAGGGGAAAAAAAGAAAACUACAAUGCUUUUUAAACAACAUGGGAUUGGAUCAACAGAAAAAAUGAAGAUGCUAAA
This is a long non-coding RNA of Nelumbo nucifera (sacred lotus), 2444 nucleotides long. RefSeq lists it as uncharacterized. The record is from RefSeq and is a predicted model, not a curated record. Lineage: Eukaryota; Viridiplantae; Streptophyta; Magnoliopsida; Proteales; Nelumbonaceae.